Molecule: ribosomal RNA, 501 nt
Filed under: uncultured bacterium
Lineage: Bacteria
Description: partial 16S ribosomal RNA
Rfam family: Bacterial small subunit ribosomal RNA
Source: RNAcentral
AUUGAACGCUGGCGGCAUGCCUUACACAUGCAAGUCGAACGGCGGCACGGGUGCUUGCACCUGGUGGCGAGUGGCGAACGGGUGAGUAAUACAUCGGAACGUACCUUAUCGUGGGGGAUAACGCAGCGAAAGCUGUGCUAAUACCGCAUACGCCCUGAGGGGGAAAGCGGGGGAUCGAAAGACCUCGCGCGACUAGAGCGGCCGAUGCCUGAUUAGCUUGUUGGUGGGGUAAAAGCCCACCAAGGCGACGAUCAGUAGCUGGUCUGCGAGGACGAUCAGCCACACUGGGACUGGGACACGGCCCAGACUCCUACGGGAGGCAGCAGUGGGGAAUUUUGGACAAUGGGGGCAACCCUGAUCCAGCAAUGCCGCGUGAGUGAAGAAGGCCUUCGGGUUGUAAAGCUCUUUUGUCAGGGAAGAAACACCGGCUCUAACACAGUCCGGGAAUGACGGUACCUGAAGAAUAAGCACCGGCUAACUACGUGCCAGCCGCCGCAGUAA